UUCGCAAUGCCCGAAAGGGUGACGAAGCGACGCCGCGUGUGGGAAGAAGGCCUUCGGGUUGUAAACCACUGUCGGGAGUUAAGAAAUGCAAGGAUAUUAAUAGUGUCUUUGUUUGACUAAGGCUCCGGAGGAAGCCACGGCUAACUCUGUGCCAGCAGCCGCGGUAAUACAGAGGCGGCAAGCGUUGUUCGGAAUUAUUGGGCGUAAAGAGCACGUAGGCGGCCUUGUAAGUCAGUUGUGAAAGCCUUCUGCUUAACGGAAGAACAGCAGCUGAUACUGCAAGGCUAGAGUGCGGAAGGGGAGAGUGGAACUUCUGGUGGAGCGGUGAAAUGCGUAGAUAUCAGAAGGAACGCCGGCGGCGAAAGCGGCUCUCUGGCCCAUAACUGACGCUGAGUGUGCGAAAGCUAGGGGAGCAAACGGGAUUAGAUACCCCGGUAGUCCUAGCCGUAAAC
Molecule: ribosomal RNA, 452 nt
Filed under: uncultured bacterium
Lineage: Bacteria
Description: bacterial SSU rRNA
Rfam family: Bacterial small subunit ribosomal RNA
Source: RNAcentral